This 879-nucleotide long non-coding RNA is filed under the name Homo sapiens (human). RNAcentral describes it as "HSALNT0311996". Lineage: Eukaryota; Metazoa; Chordata; Mammalia; Primates; Hominidae. The record is from RNAcentral.
CUCACAAGAUCUGAUGGGUUUAUAAGGGGUGUCUGCCUUUGCUUCUUCCUCAUUUUCUCUUGCUGCUGCCAUGUAAGAAGAACUUUUCACCUCCUGCCAUGAUUCUGAGGCCUCCCCAGCCAUGUGGAAGUAGUCAUAAUGGUGAAGAGGAUGGUGACAUCCAAGGACAACCACAGGGCCUCUCUCCUGACACUGGUGAGAACCAGAUUCCUUUCCCUGGUUCUGUAGCUCCCAGCAGAGUUUUGGAAGCUGAUUAAAGAGAAUGUUGGAAAUAACAGGCAAUUAGAAACCUUAUUAAAAAAAGGAAAAACACUCUCAUCAAACUUGCCAAAGCGUCUUAAUGGCUGGAUGUGGAGGAGGCAUUGGAAACUGCUGGCUGCAAGGGUCACUUGUGCCAGAGGGUGGCCUGGAAGCUGAGGAAAGUGUGGAGAGGGACUGGGGCCAGUUCCCAGGGACAGAGAGUGCAAGGGGACUGUUUAGGAAGUUAUUUCCGAGUUGAUGCGCCCAGUGAGUAUAAAGUGAAAGAAGGCCAUUUACAAGUCCUAAGAAAACCACAGCUGGUGAAACUGGUGGCAAAAGGACCAAAGGAAAAGAAAGGGACACACACACCCAUACACACACCUAUACACAGAAGAGACAGAGCCCACCACCAAGAGAGGCAGAGUGGAGUGCAUUUCCCCACUGGCCAGUUCCUCGACUGCUCAGAAUAUGCCACAACGGGUAGUUGGAAGGAGAUCAGCAGAGAUGAGGGUUCAGAUAAUCGAUGCAACUCACUGCUUUAGGGUUCCUCACCUCCUGCAGUCCCUAGGGACCACCCCCAGCAUGGCAGAGCUUGUGGGAGGUAAUUUGAAUGGCCAUGUGUGGGCUGAGUGCGGGUUU